UUCAUUCGAUGGGGGGAGAGGUAGAGGGGAGAUGGGCGGUACCAUGUGGGAGAGGAGGUAGACUGACUGGCGGACAAUGGAGCCUGUGUGUGUUUGUGGGAAGGGAGCGAAUUCACCCUCGCCGGGGAGAGUCACAGCGCCGCCCCCUCCUGCCCGGGGGUGAGGGGUGCCCCUGGCCGGGCCAGGCCAGGCCACCUCCGCCCUUGUUCAGAAGAGCAGUGAGUGUGAGAAAGAGAAAGAGAGGAGGCUCUGCAUGGUGCCAGCUCCCCUGGAAACUGCGGGCCAUGGGAGACUACUGAAUUCUGGAGUUUGUCAGAUGAACUGUCUAAAGAAACCCAGAACUGAUGCUGUAACUUGUCUAAUACUCUGAUGAUGAUAAUCUUUAUAUGUGUGCAGAGGGAUUCUGAACCCUUCUCCUGGUUGAUCAGCACAAUGUCGUGACACUGGAGUUUUGUGUGCCCUGGAGAUGAGAG
This is a long non-coding RNA of Candoia aspera, 473 nucleotides long. RefSeq lists it as uncharacterized. The record is from RefSeq and is a predicted model, not a curated record. NCBI's taxonomy places the organism in Eukaryota, Metazoa, Chordata, Lepidosauria, Squamata, Candoiidae. The transcript has 4 exons.